CAGGUUGGAGAAGGAAAUUGAGGGGCUGGAGCGUGGAGACUCUGCCCCAGCUGCCGCGAAGGAGAACGCAGCGGCCCCGAGCCCGGUCCGGGCCCCAGCCCCGAGUCCAGCCAAGGAGGAGCGCAAGACAGAGGUGGUGAUGAAUUCACAGCAGACGCCGGUGGGCACGCCCAAAGACAAGCGAGUCUCCAAUACGCCCAUGAGGACGGUUGACGGCUCCCCCAUGAUGAAGGCAGUGGUCCAUGCUGUGGAUGGCACCGCCGAGAACGGGAUCCACCCCCUGAGCUCCUCUGAGGUGGACGAACUCAUCCACAAAGCGGACGAGGUCACGCUGAGCGAGGCAGGGUCCACGGCUGGGGUGGCAGAGACCCGGGGGGCUGUGGAGGAGGUAGCCCGGACCACGCCCUCCCGGCGGGAGAUCACCGGUGUGCAGGCACAGCCAGGCGAGGCCACGUCCGGCCCGCCGGGGAUCCAGCCCGGCCAGGAGCCCCCGGUCACAAUGAUCUUCAUGGGUUACCAGAACGUGGAGGAUGAGGCCGAGACCAAGAAGGUGCUGGGCCUUCAAGACACCAUCACGGCGGAGCUGGUGGUCAUCGAAGACGCGGCUGAGCCCAAGGAACCUGCACCGCCCAACGGCAGUGCCGCCGAGCCUCCCACGGAGGCCACCUCCAGGGAAGAGAAUCAGGCGGGGCCCGAGGCCACCACCAGCGACCCCCAGGACCUCGACAUGAAGAAGCAGCGUUGUAAAUGCUGCUCGAUCAUGUGAGCCGGCCCCUGAGACCCCGGCCCCCACCCCACACCACAGACACCCACCAGCCCGGCCCCUCCCGGCGCCUGCCCACCCUCCACCCACAGCCUCACGGGUCCAGGACUUGGCGU
Molecule: small RNA, 879 nt
Filed under: Pongo abelii (Sumatran orangutan)
Lineage: Eukaryota; Metazoa; Chordata; Mammalia; Primates; Hominidae
Description: retained intron
Source: RNAcentral